GAAAUGCGAUACGUAAUGUGAAUUGCAAAUUCAGUGAAUCAUCGAGUCUUUGAACGCACAUUGCGCCCCCUGGUAUUCCGGGGGGCAUGCCUGUCCGAGUGUCAUUUCUGCCCUCAAGCACGGCGUGUGUGUUGGGCCCCGUCCUCCGAUCCCGGGGGACGGGCCCGAAAGGCAGCGGCGGCACCGCGUCCGGUCCUCGAGCGUAUGGGGCUUUGUCACCCGCUCUGUAGGCCCGGCCGGCGCUUGCCGAUCAACCCAAAUUUUUAUCCAGGUUGACCUCGGAUCAGGUAGGGAUACCCGCUGAACUUAAGC
This 312-nucleotide unclassified non-coding RNA is filed under the name plant metagenome. RNAcentral's name for it is "partial contains 5.8S ribosomal RNA, internal transcribed spacer 2, and large subunit ribosomal RNA". The stretch from base 1 to 104 matches the Rfam family "5.8S ribosomal RNA", at positions 50 to 154 of the family's 154-position model. The record is from RNAcentral.